Molecule: ribosomal RNA, 1343 nt
Filed under: uncultured bacterium
Lineage: Bacteria
Description: 16S ribosomal RNA
Rfam family: Bacterial small subunit ribosomal RNA
Source: RNAcentral
GACGAACGCUGGCGGCGUGCUUAACACAUGCAAGUCGAACGGAAAGGCCCUGCUUUUGUGGGGUGCUCGAGUGGCGAACGGGUGAGUAACACGUGAGUAACCUGCCCUUGACUUUGGGAUAACUUCAGGAAACUGGGGCUAAUACCGGAUAGGAGCUCCUGCUGCAUGGUGGGGGUUGGAAAGUUUCGGCGGUUGGGGAUGGACUCGCGGCUUAUCAGCUUGUUGGUGGGGUAGUGGCUUACCAAGGCUUUGACGGGUAGCCGGCCUGAGAGGGUGACCGGCCACAUUGGGACUGAGAUACGGCCCAGACUCCUACGGGAGGCAGCAGUGGGGAAUAUUGCACAAUGGGCGGAAGCCUGAUGCAGCAACGCCGCGUGCGGGAUGACGGCCUUCGGGUUGUAAACCGCUUUCGCCUGUGACGAAGCGUGAGUGACGGUAAUGGGUAAAGAAGCACCGGCUAACUACGUGCCAGCAGCCGCGGUGAUACGUAGGGUGCGAGCGUUGUCCGGAUUUAUUGGGCGUAAAGGGCUCGUAGGUGGUUGAUCGCGUCGGAAGUGUAAUCUUGGGGCUUAACCCUGAGCGUGCUUUCGAUACGGGUUGACUUGAGGAAGGUAGGGGAGAAUGGAAUUCCUGGUGGAGCGGUGGAAUGCGCAGAUAUCAGGAGGAACACCAGUGGCGAAGGCGGUUCUCUGGGCCUUUCCUGACGCUGAGGAGCGAAAGCGUGGGGAGCGAACAGGCUUAGAUACCCUGGUAGUCCACGCUGUAAACGGUGGGUACUAGGUGUGGGGUCCAUUCCACGGGUUCCGUGCCGUAGCUAACGCUUUAAGUACCCCGCCUGGGGAGUACGGCCGCAAGGCUAAAACUCAAAGGAAUUGACGGGGCCCCGCACAAGCGGCGGAGCAUGCGGAUUAAUUCGAUGCAACGCGUAGAACCUUACCUGGGUUUGACAUGGAUCGGGAGCGCUCAGAGAUGGGUGUGCCUCUUUUGGGGUCGGUUCACAGGUGGUGCAUGGCUGUCGUCAGCUCGUGUCGUGAGAUGUUGGGUUAAGUCCCGCAACGAGCGCAACCCUUGUUCACUGUUGCCAGCACGUUAUGGUGGGGACUCAGUGGAGACCGCCGGGGUCAACUCGGAGGAGGGUGGGGAUGACGUCAAGUCAUCAUGCCCCUUAUGUCCAGGGCUUCACGCAUGCUACAAUGGCUGGUACAGAGAGUGGCGAGCCUGUGAGGGUGAGCGAAUCUCGGAAAGCCGGUCUCAGUUCGGAUUGGGGUCUGCAACUCGACCUCAUGAAGUCGGAGUCGCUAGUAAUCGCAGAUCAGCAACGCUGCGGUGAAUACGUUCCCGGG